This 65-nucleotide transfer RNA is filed under the name Blaptica dubia (Argentinian wood cockroach). RNAcentral's name for it is "tRNA-Glu". It matches the Rfam family "tRNA". From Rfam's summary of the family: Transfer RNA (tRNA) molecules are approximately 80 nucleotides in length. Their secondary structure includes four short double-helical elements and three loops (D, anti-codon, and T loops). The record is from RNAcentral. Lineage: Eukaryota; Metazoa; Arthropoda; Insecta; Blattodea; Blaberidae.
GUUUAUGUAGUUUAAAAAGAAAACAUUACAUUUUCAAUGUAAUAAUAUUUUAUUAAUCAUAAAUU